This 469-nucleotide ribosomal RNA is filed under the name uncultured bacterium. RNAcentral describes it as "bacterial SSU rRNA". It matches the Rfam family "Bacterial small subunit ribosomal RNA", at positions 50 to 507 of the family's 1533-position model. The record is from RNAcentral.
AACACAUGCAAGUCGAGGGGAAACGAUAUUGGAAGCUUGCUUCUGAUAGGCGUCGACCGGCGCACGGGUGAGUAACGCGUAUCCAACCUGCCCAUCACUUGGGGAUAACCUUGUGAAAGUAAGACUAAUACCCAAUGACGUCUCUAGAAGACAUCUGAAAGAGAUUAAAGAUUUAUCGGUGAUGGAUGGGGAUGCGUCUGAUUAGCUUGUUGGCGGGUAACGGCCCACCAAGGCGACGAUCAGUAGGGGUUCUGAGAGGAAGGUCCCCCACAUUGGAACUGAGACACGGUCCAAACUCCUACGGGAGGCAGCAGUGAGGAAUAUUGGUCAAUGGACGAGAGUCUGAACCAGCCAAGUAGCGUGCAGGAUGACGGCCCUAUGGGUUGUAAACUGCUUUUAUAAGGGAAUAAAGUGAGUCUCGUGAGACUUUUUGCAUGUACCUUAUGAAUAAGGACCGGCUAAUUCCGUG